Molecule: ribosomal RNA, 396 nt
Filed under: uncultured bacterium
Lineage: Bacteria
Description: partial 16S ribosomal RNA
Rfam family: Bacterial small subunit ribosomal RNA
Source: RNAcentral
AUACGUAGGGGGCGAGCGUUGUCCGGAAUGAUUGGGCGUAAAGGGCGCGUAGGCGGCCCGGUAAGUCUGGAGUGAAAGUCCUGUUUUUAAGAUGGGAAUUGCUUUGGAUACUGUCGGGCUCGAGGGCAGGAGAGGUAAGUGGAAUUCCCAGUGUAGCGGUGAAAUGCGUAGAGAUUGGGAGGAAAACCAGUGGCGAAGGCGACUUACUGGACUGUAACUGACGCUGAGGCGCGAAAGUGUGGGGAGCAAACAGGAUUAGAUCCCCUGGUAGUCCACGCCGUAAACGAUGAAUACUAGGUGUAGGGGUUGUCAUGACCUCUGUGCCGCCGCUAACGCAUUAAGUAUUCCGCCUGGGGAGUACGGUCGCAAGAUUAAAACUCAAAGGAAUUGGCGGGG